Molecule: transfer RNA, 75 nt
Filed under: Pleurostomum flabellatum
Lineage: Eukaryota; Heterolobosea; Eutetramitea; Acrasida; Tulamoebidae
Description: tRNA-Met
Rfam family: tRNA
About the family: Transfer RNA (tRNA) molecules are approximately 80 nucleotides in length. Their secondary structure includes four short double-helical elements and three loops (D, anti-codon, and T loops). Further hydrogen bonds mediate the characteristic L-shaped molecular structure. tRNAs have two regions of fundamental functional importance: the anti-codon, which is responsible for specific mRNA codon recognition, and the 3' end, to which the tRNAs corresponding amino acid is attached (by aminoacyl-tRNA synthetases). tRNAs cope with the degeneracy of the genetic code in two manners: having more than one tRNA (with a specific anti-codon) for a particular amino acid; and 'wobble' base-pairing, i.e. permitting non-standard base-pairing at the 3rd anti-codon position.
Source: RNAcentral
AUACCCGUAGCUUAAAGGUUAAAGCGCUCCACUCAUAAUGGACGUGAUAUAGGUUCGAAUCCUAUCGGGUUGAUU